UUGGAUGGCUUAACUAGUAGAGCUCUUGGCGCGUAACCAAACGAUCUGGGUUCGAUUCCCAGAUUCAAA
This 69-nucleotide transfer RNA is filed under the name Glyptapanteles indiensis. RNAcentral's name for it is "tRNA-Thr". Lineage: Eukaryota; Metazoa; Arthropoda; Insecta; Hymenoptera; Braconidae. The record is from RNAcentral.